Molecule: ribosomal RNA, 662 nt
Filed under: Micrococcus sp.
Lineage: Bacteria; Bacillati; Actinomycetota; Actinomycetes; Micrococcales; Micrococcaceae
Description: bacterial SSU rRNA
Rfam family: Bacterial small subunit ribosomal RNA
Source: RNAcentral
AAGCCCAGCUUGCUGGGUGGAUUAGUGGCGAACGGGUGAGUAACACGUGAGUAACCUGCCCUUAACUCUGGGAUAAGCCUGGGAAACUGGGUCUAAUACCGGAUAGGAGCGCCCACCGCAUGGUGGGUGUUGGAAAGAUUUAUCGGUUUUGGAUGGACUCGCGGCCUAUCAGCUUGUUGGUGAGGUAAUGGCUCACCAAGGCGACGACGGGUAGCCGGCCUGAGAGGGUGACCGGCCACACUGGGACUGAGACACGGCCCAGACUCCUACGGGAGGCAGCAGUGGGGAAUAUUGCACAAUGGGCGCAAGCCUGAUGCAGCGACGCCGCGUGAGGGAUGACGGCCUUCGGGUUGUAAACCUCUUUCAGUAGGGAAGAAGCGAAAGUGACGGUACCUGCAGAAGAAGCACCGGCUAACUACGUGCCAGCAGCCGCGGUAAUACGUAGGGUGCGAGCGUUAUCCGGAAUUAUUGGGCGUAAAGAGCUCGUAGGCGGUUUGUCGCGUCUGUCGUGAAAGUCCGGGGCUUAACCCCGGAUCUGCGGUGGGUACGGGCAGACUAGAGUGCAGUAGGGGAGACUGGAAUUCCUGGUGUAGCGGUGGAAUGCGCAGAUAUCAGGAGGAACACCGAUGGCGAAGGCAGGUCUCUGGGCUGUAACUGACGCU